AAGCGACUAAGCGUACACGGUGGAUGCCCUGGCAGUCAGAGGCGAUGAAGGGCGUGCUAAUCUGCGAUAAGCGCCGGUAAGGUGAUAUGAACCGUUAUAACCGGCGAUACCCGAAUGGGGAAACCCAGUGUGAUUCGUCACACUAUCAUUAACUGAAUCCAUAGGUUAAUGAGGCGAACCGGGGGAACUGAAACAUCUAAGUACCCCGAGGAAAAGAAAUCAACCGAGAUUCCCCCAGUAGCGGCGAGCGAACGGGGAGGAGCCCAGAGCCUGAAUCAGCAUGUGUGUUAGUGGAAGCGUCUGGAAAGGCGCGCGAUACAGGGUGACAGCCCCGUACACAAAAGCGCAUGUGCUGUGAGCUCGAUGAGUAGGGCGGGACACGUGGUAUCCUGUCUGAAUAUGGGGGGACCAUCCUCCAAGGCUAAAUACUCCUGACUGACCGAUAGUGAACCAGUACCGUGAGGGAAAGGCGAAAAGAACCCCGGCGAGGGGAGUGAAAAAGAACCUGAAACCGUGUACGUACAAGCAGUGGGAGC
Molecule: ribosomal RNA, 536 nt
Filed under: Salmonella enterica
Lineage: Bacteria; Pseudomonadati; Pseudomonadota; Gammaproteobacteria; Enterobacterales; Enterobacteriaceae
Description: bacterial LSU rRNA
Rfam family: Bacterial large subunit ribosomal RNA
Source: RNAcentral